AACGACUCUCGGCAACGGAUAUCUCGGCUCUCGCAUCGAUGAAGAACGUAGCGAAAUGCGAUACUUGGUGUGAAUUGCAGAAUCCCGUGAACCAUCGAGUCUUUGAACGCAAGUUGCGCCCUAAGCCACUAGGCCGAGGGCACGUCUGCCUGGGUGUCACGC
This 162-nucleotide ribosomal RNA is filed under the name Rhus copallinum (winged sumac). RNAcentral's name for it is "5.8S ribosomal RNA". It matches the Rfam family "5.8S ribosomal RNA". From Rfam's summary of the family: 5.8S ribosomal RNA (5.8S rRNA) is a component of the large subunit of the eukaryotic ribosome. It is transcribed by RNA polymerase I as part of the 45S precursor that also contains 18S and 28S rRNA. Lineage: Eukaryota; Viridiplantae; Streptophyta; Magnoliopsida; Sapindales; Anacardiaceae. The record is from RNAcentral. RNAcentral also lists the same sequence under 4 other names.